Xenopus tropicalis (tropical clawed frog) is the source of this 480-nucleotide long non-coding RNA. RefSeq lists it as uncharacterized. The record is from RefSeq and is a predicted model, not a curated record. The transcript has 2 exons. NCBI's taxonomy places the organism in Eukaryota, Metazoa, Chordata, Amphibia, Anura, Pipidae.
CACACUCAUCCCUGCUCUGGCCAGUCCUACACUCACUCUAUUUUUCAUUCACUCACACUGUGAGACUGUGCCAUGCUGAGAGGUAGGAAUGAACAAUACAGUUACUCUGUUUCCUGUAGGUAAUUAUAUAUUGUCCGCUCUAUUUUUCAGGUGAAAAGAGUUAGCCAGCUAGUCGUUGGGACACAGGGAUCUCCUGCUGUACAUUGCCAUGUGAAAAGAGUUAGCCAGCCAGUCGUUGGGACACAGGGAUCUCCUGCUGUACAUUGCCAUGUAAGUGUGCAGUGGCCCCCAAGAGUGCUUCUGGUGGACUUGGUUCAAUUGGACCCCCCCUUUCCUUUUAGGGAACUGUUAUUAAUGAAUUUCUUAGGACAUUGGAUCAACGCUUAUGGAUUUACUAUUUGGCUUGUAUGUUUUAUUCACUUUGCACUUGUUUUUGAUCAUCUUAUGUAUUAUUGUUUUGAUAAAUCUAUGUACCAUGUG